Molecule: ribosomal RNA, 433 nt
Filed under: uncultured bacterium
Lineage: Bacteria
Description: partial 16S ribosomal RNA
Rfam family: Bacterial small subunit ribosomal RNA
Source: RNAcentral
AGCGAACGCUGGCGGCAGGCCUAACACAUGCAAGUCGAACGAACUCUUCGGAGUUAGUGGCGGACGGGUGAGUAACACGUGGGAACGUGCCUUUUGGUUCGGAAUAACUCAGGGAAACUUGUGCUAAUACCGAAUGUGCCCUUCGGGGGAAAGAUUUAUCGCCAUUAGAGCGGCCCGCGUCUGAUUAGCUAGUUGGUGAGGUAACGGCUCACCAAGGCGACGAUUAGUAGCUGGUCUGAGAGGAUGACCAGCCACACUGGGACUGAGACACGGCACAGACUCCUACGGGAGGCAGCAGUGGGGAAUCUUGCGCAAUGGGCGAAAGCCUGACGCAGCCAUGCCGCGUGAAUGAUGAAGGUCUUAGGAUUGUAAAAUUCUUUCACCGGGGACGAUAAUGACGGUACCCGGAGAAGAAGCCCCGGCUAACUUCGUG